Molecule: ribosomal RNA, 383 nt
Filed under: Triticum aestivum (bread wheat)
Lineage: Eukaryota; Viridiplantae; Streptophyta; Magnoliopsida; Poales; Poaceae
Description: partial small subunit ribosomal RNA
Source: RNAcentral
GGGUGCUGAGGGGUGCUGGAGAGGGAGGGAAGAUCUAGCGCGUGGGCGCGUGGGCGCGCGGGGCUUGGGCGGCUGAGCGGGGCCGCGGGGUAGCGGUAGCGGCUGGAGGGGCAGUGGCCUCGGGAAGGGCUCGGCUGCGGAGCGGUAGGGUCGGCGCAAGCGGCGUCGAGGGGCGCCAGGGCCGCUCGUGUGGGCGCGGGCUGCUGACGGCGGAGGCCGGGCGUCGAAGAAGGGGCAGGAACGAGGCGUGGACGUCGUGGUGGCCGACGGCGGCGGCAGCAACAACCUUGGAGGGGCUGGAGGAGGAGCGGCCUAGACGCGGCGGCUGGGCAACGGGCUGGGGCUGAGGAGGGGCGCGGGCGGAGCGAGUUGAUGUCCCGAAA